Juglans regia (Persian walnut) is the source of this 103-nucleotide small nuclear RNA. The record is from RefSeq and is a predicted model, not a curated record. Lineage: Eukaryota; Viridiplantae; Streptophyta; Magnoliopsida; Fagales; Juglandaceae.
GUCCUUUUGGGGACAUCAGAUAAAAUUGAAACGAUACAUAAAAGAUUAACAUGGCCUCUGCAUAAGGAUGAUACUCAUAAAGCGAGAAAUAUAUUAUAUAGAG